Molecule: ribosomal RNA, 744 nt
Filed under: uncultured bacterium
Lineage: Bacteria
Description: bacterial SSU rRNA
Rfam family: Bacterial small subunit ribosomal RNA
Source: RNAcentral
AGAGUUUGAUCAUGGCUCAGAGCGAACGCUGGCGGCAGGCUUAACACAUGCAAGUCGAGCGGGCGUAGCAAUACGUCAGCGGCAGACGGGUGAGUAACGCGUGGGAACAUACCUUUUGGUUCGGAACAACCCAGGGAAACUUGGGCUAAUACCGGAUAAGCCCUUACGGGGAAAGAUUUAUCGCCGAAAGAUUGGCCCGCGUCUGAUUAGCUAGUUGGUGAGGUAACGGCUCACCAAGGCGACGAUCAGUAGCUGGUCUGAGAGGAUGAUCAGCCACAUUGGGACUGAGACACGGCCCAAACUCCUACGGGAGGCAGCAGUGGGGAAUAUUGGACAAUGGGCGCAAGCCUGAUCCAGCCAUGCCGCGUGAGUGAUGAAGGCCCUAGGGUUGUAAAGCUCUUUUGUGCGGGAAGAUAAUGACGGUACCGCAAGAAUAAGCCCCGGCUAACUUCGUGCCAGCAGCCGCGGUAAUACGAAGGGGGCUAGCGUUGCUCGGAAUCACUGGGCGUAAAGGGUGCGUAGGCGGGUCUUUAAGUCAGGGGUGAAAUCCUGGAGCUCAACUCCAGAACUGCCUUUGAUACUGAAGGUCUUGAGUUCGGGAGAGGUGAGUGGAACUGCGAGUGUAGAGGUGAAGUUCGUAGAUAUUCGCAAGAACACCAGUGGCGAAGGCGGCUCACUGGCCCGAUACUGACGCUGAUGCACGAAAGCGUGGGGAGCAAACAGGAUUAGAUACCCUAGUAGUCC